This 384-nucleotide ribosomal RNA is filed under the name uncultured Acidovorax sp. Its description in RNAcentral is "bacterial SSU rRNA". It matches the Rfam family "Bacterial small subunit ribosomal RNA", at positions 999 to 1382 of the family's 1533-position model. Lineage: Bacteria; Pseudomonadati; Pseudomonadota; Betaproteobacteria; Burkholderiales; Comamonadaceae. The record is from RNAcentral.
UUUAAAGAUAGAGGAGUGCUCGAAAGAGAGCCGUAACACAGGUGCUGCAUGGCUGUCGUCAGCUCGUGUCGUGAGAUGUUGGGUUAAGUCCCGCAACGAGCGCAACCCUUGUCAUUAGUUGCUACAUUCAGUUGGGCACUCUAAUGAGACUGCCGGUGACAAACCGGAGGAAGGUGGGGAUGACGUCAAGUCCUCAUGGCCCUUAUAGGUGGGGCUACACACGUCAUACAAUGGAUGGUACAGAGGGUAGCCAACCCGCGAGGGGGGAGCCAAUCCCACAAAGCCGGUCGUAGUCCGGAUCGCAGUCUGCAACUCGACUGCGUGAAGUCGGAAUCGCUAGUAAUCGCGGAUCAGCAUGUCGCGGUGAAUACGUUCCCGGGUCUU